AGGGUUUGAUCAUGGCUCAGAUUGAACGCUGGCGGAAUGCUUUACACAUGCAAGUCGAACGGCAGCACGGGUGCUUGCACCUGGUGGCGAGUGGCGAACGGGUGAGUAACAUAUCGGAACGUACCCAGUAAUGGGGGAUAACUAACCGAAAGGUUAGCUAAUACCGCAUACGCCCUGAGGGGGAAAGCGGGGGAUCGAAAGACCUCGCGUUAUUGGAGCGGCCGAUAUCUGAUUAGCUAGUUGGUGAGGUAAAGGCCCACCAAGGCGACGAUCAGUAGCUGGUCUGAGAGGACGACCAGCCACACUGGAACUGAGACACGGUCCAGACUCCUACGGGAGGCAGCAGUGGGGAAUUUUGGACAAUGGGCGAAAGCCUGAUCCAGCCAUUCCGCGUGAGUGAAGAAGGCCUUCGGGUUGUAAAGCUCUUUCGCAAGGGAAGAAAGAUUACUCUCUAACAUAGAGUGAUUAUGACGGUACCUUGAUAAGAAGCACCGGCUAACUACGUGCCAGCAGCCGCGGUAAUACGUAGGGUGCGAGCGUUAAUCGGAAUUACUGGGCGUAAAGCG
Molecule: ribosomal RNA, 566 nt
Filed under: uncultured bacterium
Lineage: Bacteria
Description: bacterial SSU rRNA
Rfam family: Bacterial small subunit ribosomal RNA
Source: RNAcentral